This 368-nucleotide long non-coding RNA is filed under the name Rosa chinensis. Its description in RNAcentral is "sRNA RchiOBHm_Chr1g0341011". The record is from RNAcentral. Lineage: Eukaryota; Viridiplantae; Streptophyta; Magnoliopsida; Rosales; Rosaceae.
GCCUAGCCACCUAGGAGCCCGCCUACCGCCUACCGCCUAGCCUCCUAAUCUGCCUAGGCCGCCUGGGAGCCCACCUAGCACUUACCGCCUAGCAGCCUAAUCCGCCUAGGCCACCUGGGAGCCCACCUUGCACUUACCGCCUAGCCGCCUAAUCCGCCUAGGUCGCCUGGGAGCCCACCUAGCGCUUACCGCCUAGCCGCCUAAUCCGCCUAAACCGCCUAGGCCGCCUGGGAGCCCACCUAGCGCUUACCGCCUAGCCGUCUAAUCCGCUUGGGCGCCCGCCUACAAUCCAGACGCCCAGAAUCACCGAUUCUUCAUUAGUGGAAGCGGAGAGGCACCGCCCAGGGCCUAGGCGGCUUGGGAGGCCG